Triticum aestivum (bread wheat) is the source of this 115-nucleotide non-coding RNA. Lineage: Eukaryota; Viridiplantae; Streptophyta; Magnoliopsida; Poales; Poaceae. The record is from Rfam.
CAAAUACUCCCUCCGUUCUAAAUUACUCGUCGUAGAAAUGAAUGUAUCUAGAACUAAAAUACAUCUAGAUACAUCCAUUUCUACAACGAGUAAUUUAAAACGGAUGGAGUACAUA